Molecule: ribosomal RNA, 463 nt
Filed under: uncultured Acidimicrobiales bacterium
Lineage: Bacteria; Bacillati; Actinomycetota; Acidimicrobiia; Acidimicrobiales
Description: bacterial SSU rRNA
Rfam family: Bacterial small subunit ribosomal RNA
Source: RNAcentral
GACGAACGCUGGCGGCACGCUUAACACAUGCAAGUCGAACGAGGUCCAUGGAGCUUGCUCCGGAAGACCUAGUGGCGAACGGGUGCGUAACACGUGAGAAACCUGCCCCGAACUUGGGAAUAACAGUCGGAAACGACUGCUAAUACCGAAUACCUUCACAACGUCGCAUGGCGACGUGAAGAAAGCUCCGGCGGUUCGGGAGGGUCUCGCGGCCUAUCAGCUUGUUGGUGAGGUAACGGCUCACCAAGGCAUCGACGGGUAGCUGGUCUGAGAGGAUGAUCAGCCACACUGGAACUGAGACACGGUCCAGACUCCUACGGGAGGCAGCAGUGGGGAAUAUUGCACAAUGGGCGCAAGCCUGAUGCAGCGAUGCCGCGUGCGGGAAGAAGGCCCUAGGGUUGUAAACCGCUUUCAGCAGGGAAGAAAAUGACGGUACCUGUAGAAGAAGGUGCGGCCAACUACG